Molecule: ribosomal RNA, 272 nt
Filed under: uncultured prokaryote
Description: partial 16S ribosomal RNA
Rfam family: Bacterial small subunit ribosomal RNA
Source: RNAcentral
UACGAAGGGGGCUAGCGUUGUUCGGAAUUACUGGGCGUAAAGCGCGCGUAGGCGGGCAUCUAAGUCAGGGGUGAAAUGCCAGGGCUCAACCUUGGAAUUGCCUUUGAUACUGGAUGCCUGGAGUUCGGGAGAGGUGAGUGGAAUUCCGAGUGUAGAGGUGAAAUUCGUAGAUAUUCGGAGGAACACCAGAAGCGAAGGCGGCUCACUGGCCCGAUACUGACGCUGAGGCGCGAAAGCGUGGGGAGCAAACAGGAUUAGAUACCCCGUAGUCC